RNA transcript from Lucilia sericata (common green bottle fly), 5612 nucleotides. RefSeq lists it as uncharacterized. NCBI's taxonomy places the organism in Eukaryota, Metazoa, Arthropoda, Insecta, Diptera, Calliphoridae. The transcript has 12 exons. The record is from RefSeq and is a predicted model, not a curated record.
GUGUUAAGCUAAAAGUAAAACUUUAGUUAUCUUUAAGUUGGCUAAGAAGACGGUUGGAACAAGCGGCGGAAAAUAUUUUUGUGAGCGGUUGACAUUGUUGUUUUUGUUGAUAUUUAUUGUUAGUAAAACGGUUAAAGUUUUUUAUAUUGGCUUUCAUCUACAACUUUUACUAUACACUUGUUUUCGUCGGCUUAAUAGAUUCAUAGUUCGUUCAUUCGUAGCUUCGUCGGUCGUGCGUGUGUAUGUGUUUUUAAUUUGUUGCUUUAAAAAGAAAUUUUUUGUUAAAACUUAUGGCUUGAAAUCUCAAGCUUGGAAUGUUUAGUCGCUCUGAAGUAGUAUAACGGAAAACACAUAUAAUCCGAAGACGAAUGUGAAGUAGACAACACAAAUUUUGAUAAAAUGAUUUAAACAGUUUGAUGUUAAAUAAAUAAUGUUUGAAUUACCCAUUUAUGAAAAUAAAUUUUGUAGUAAUAACGCAGUAAAGUUUAAACUAACUUGUACUUAGUGUAAAAAAGAAAACAUACAAAAUAAAAAAGAAAGUUGGUAUUAUUAAACAAAUGUUGGAGCAUUUUUUUUAUUUUUAUUGCAACCUGCUGCGUGUAACGGUGACAUACAUUUCAUAAGAAACGAGAAAACUGUUCACAUCUUAAAAAAUCACCUGUUAAUAAAGUUCAACGUAUUAAACAGAAAUCCGAAAAUAAGAAAAACUAAAAAUUAAUUUAGAAGAAGUUUUCAAGAAUAAUUUAAUAUUUCUUUCUCACUUUAUAGUGAACUUAUCAAAAAUAAAAAAGUUUUGAUACAUGUGUUGUGAAAAUAUUUAAUUUAAAUACGAGUACAAAGUCCUUUCCAACACCAUGCCGAAGAUUACAACACCAUCGUUGUUGCUCAUCAUCAGUCUAUUAGGAUAUUAUGCACGCAUUGAUGCGCAAAAUAUAGAAUCAUCUCAUUGUAGUUUUCCUGGGUCACCAGCACAUAGUACAGUUGUGUUUUCGAAUGUAAAUUUAACAGAUGGUACCAUUGCAUCAUAUUCAUGUGAAAGAGGUUUUGAAUUGUUAGGACCUGCAAGACGAGUCUGUGAUAAGGGCACAUGGGUUCCUGAAGGAAUACCGUUUUGUGUACUAAAUGUUGCUGCUGGCAAAGCACCAAUGCAGAUUUCUACGGAUGGUACCGGUGCACCACAAAAAUCUAUAGAUGGUUCAACAUCUGCGUUCUAUACCCCAGAGACCUGUUCACUCACAAAACCGGAGCGAUCACCAUGGUGGUAUGUCAACCUGUUGGAACCGUACAUGGUACAAUUAGUGCGUUUGGAUUUCGGAAAAUCGUGUUGUGGUAAUAAACCUGCUACCAUUGUUGUGCGCGUUGGUAACAACCGACCUGAUUUAGGAACCAAUCCCAUUUGCAACCGAUUUACGGGUCUUUUAGAAGAAGGACAGCCAUUGUUCUUACCUUGUAAUCCCCCGAUGCCUGGUGCUUUCGUUUCAGUACAUUUAGAAAAUAAUACUCCCAAUCAACUUUCUAUCUGUGAAGCAUUCGUUUAUACUGAUCAAGCAUUACCUAUUGAGCGUUGUCCUACAUUCCGAGAUCAGCCUCCAGGUGCUUUAGCUUCAUAUAAUGGAAAAUGCUACAUUUUUUACAAUAGACAACCUUUGAAUUUUUUGGACUCUUUGUCUUUUUGUCGAUCACGCGGUGGUACAUUAAUCAGCGAAAGCAAUCCAGCCCUUCAAGGCUUCAUCAGUUGGGAGUUAUGGCGUCGACAUCGCAGUGAUAUAAGUUCUCAAUAUUGGAUGGGUGCUGUUCGAGAUUCCGAAGAUCGAAAUACCUGGAAAUGGGUUAACGGUGAGGAAGUAACUGUUUCAUUUUGGAAUCAUCCAGGAGGUGACGAAGAUUGCGCUAGAUUUGACGGUUCUAAGGGAUGGCUAUGGAGUGAUACAAAUUGCAAUACAAUGUUAAAUUUCAUUUGUCAACACCAACCUAAAACUUGUGGUAGACCCGAACAACCUCCUAAUUCUACGAUGGUUGCACAGAAUGGCUUUGAAGUUGGAGCUCAUAUUAAAUAUACUUGCGAUGUUAAUCAUUUAUUAGUUGGUCCAUCAACAAGAACAUGUUUAGAAACUGGCUUCUACAAUGAGUUUCCUCCCGUCUGCAAAUAUAUCGAAUGUGGUCUGCCCGCUUCUAUACCUCACGGCACAUAUGACCUCUUGAAUGGUACAGUGGGAUAUUUGAGUUUGGUGAAGUAUUCAUGCCAGGAAGGUUAUGAAAUGGUAGGCAGAGCUUUAUUGACGUGUGAUUUUGAUGAACGUUGGAAUGGCCCGCCACCACGUUGUGAGAUUGUGGAAUGUGAUACAUUGCCUGGCAACUACUAUAGUACGAUUAUUUCUGCUCCAAACGGUACCUUCUUUGGAUCUAAAGCAGAAAUCUCGUGUCCUACAGGUUAUCGUUUGGAAGGCCCACGUGUAAUAACUUGUCUGUCGUCGGGACAAUGGAGCAGUGCUCUACCACGUUGCAUUAAAUUGGAACCAAUAACACUUCCCUCACCAUCCCCAACACCUACUUUACCAACUACAACAACAUAUAGACCCAAACUUACUACAACAACAAAGAAAAUAUACAAACCAACCACUACUUCUACUAGCAGCACAGCUCUUGGCACCAGUCAGAGUCCAAAUAUUGAACUUAAUAGUGAAACUGAUUCCGAUGAAGAGGUUACAUAUGUGGUACCCGGUACUGUGCGCGAAGAAUUCCCUCCUAGACGUACCCUGAGACCAGUAAUUGUACCUAAGAAACCCAAUACCACUCCAGCAUUCCAAAUUCCUAGUUCCACUGCAUCUUAUUCUACAAGCACUUCGAAACCAUCAUCUGGUUAUGGUCCAACUCAUAACCGUGUCCCUUAUAUUCCUUCGUCUACUUUGGAAACAUCAACACAUAACAUUCAAAAUGUCAUUCAAAAUGCACAUCCUCAAGACAAUGAAAUUUCGGAUAGUGUUAAUAUACGUCAUAACCAAUCCCCUAAUGUCAAUGUACCUAUAUCCGUGGAUAAUCCAGAUCGCAAAGAAACGAAGGAAGCAAAAUUGAAUUUGGGAGCAAUUGUUGCUUUGGGUGCUUUCGGAGGCUUUGUAUUCCUUGCUGCAGUAAUUACGACAAUUGUUAUUUUAGUACGCAGCACCUCAAACAGCAAACGGUGGCACAAUGCAAAACAUUUUCCUUAUCCUUCGUCUCUACCACCAUAUUACAUGCCUAAAUCUCGUUUGCGUUACAUGCCCCCACCACCAACGAUGACCACGCAAUUCAACGCUUCGACUUUUGAGGCUAAAAAAUCAUAUUUAGGAAACACGGAAUUUAUAAGACCACAAAGCCACUAUGAUCAUUAUAGCACAUGUUCAAGUAUUAAAAAAGAAUCUCCUAAUUCACUGUGGAACAGUGUUUUGGCUUUACCCUUUGAUGAUCAAAAACUGGGCCGACGUGAAUUGAGUACUUGUGGACGUAGUUAUGCUGCCAGAGCUGGAAUAUUCAGUAACGAACAACAUCAACAAAAAGAAAAUAUCAAUAAUAAACAAUAAAGAAAUGUUCCCAUCUAACAACAUUUAAUUAAACACAAUGAAGAAUAAAUAGAACAAUAAGAUACCUUAAUAUACAUAUAUAUAGUACAUACUCAAACAAUUUAGGAUAAUAGGAGACAUCGUGCCAAAGAUUAAUAAAUUAAAACAACUUUACAUACAUACAUAUAUACAUAUGUAUAAAAUUGUUAAAACGAAAAAUGCGAAAAAUUUACAAAAAUCCGGCCAUAUUUGUGCAUAUACAUAAAUAGAAUAAAUAAUUUUAAGUCAAACAAAAAUCGUACUACUCAACAUUAUCGACAUAGAGCAUCCCCCGACUGCAAUACAGUUGCCUCAUUCGAUAGUUCUACUUCGGGCUCUAGAAAUGGUUUAAAUAGGUACUAUAGGCAAGCUUGGGAAAAUUUACAUGAAUCAGCCUCUAAAAACAGUUCACACAAUGCACUCCGACGUAAAGAAACUCUUGAUCCUCCCAGUAUGACGCGGUCAAGAGAUAACUUAAGGGAAAAUAUUCAAAGGUCCAGAGAGAAUUUAGAACGUGUUGGUCGAGACAAUUAUGGAUUGCGUGAAAAUUCUGAAAUGGUUGUUUCUGACGUAUGUCUGAAAGAAAAGAAACGUCAUCAUCACCAUCAUCACAAAAACGGUUCCUCGCGCAAUGGCGAAUACCGAGACCAUUCGGCGGGCAGGCGAGAACACCAUCGACAUAGUGGAGGACAUUAUUGACCAACUAUGAUCAUAACCAUCAAUGUAGAACAAUAAAAAUAAAACGGGCUGCAAUAUUCACAAACUAAAGUUAAAUGCAUUAGAGUAAUUCUAAUGUUAAAAAGCAAAACAACGAAACAAUUUAGUUCUAAACAUAAUUAGAGUAUCUACUAUAAAUACUUACAUAUUUAAGUAAAUUAUACAAUUUAUUUUUAAGACUUCUUCAUCCACAAAGAAAAAUAGUCAACCGUUUUUUCUAUAUUCAUACAUGUACAUUAGAGAAUAAUUGAAAACAUAUCGCUCAUUUCUAACUACAUAGUGUCAUAACUCAAAAACUCUAGUUUCGAAUCUUUCAUAAUUGAGUUCAAACAUUUUUUAAGCGUAAUGUUUCAGUUUUAAUAUUUAUAAUCAUGAUGUAAUACGUAAGGUGAGAGCGUUUCGGCAACAAACACAAUAUUUUAUUGUUGUCUAGAGUUGGGUUUUGUCAAAAUGAAAUUUCUAAUAUUGAAAAAUAAUAAACAUUGGAAAUAUGUAAAUAGUUUUUGUGUAUUUCACAAUAUUACCUAUAAAACCGUCGUUACAUUUAACAUUUAUCUGCAGCAGGACAAUGUUUUAAUGCUUCUUCAUCUGAACUUUCUUAUUUGAAAACUCUUUAUGAACAUUUUAAUUCAUAAUUUUAAAUUAAAAUUUUUUUUGCUUAGAAAACACAAAUAUAAUUUUUUUAAAAUAAAAAUAAAUUAAUUAACGAUUUCACUUUACUUAGUGCAUCCUGAUUUAUAACAAUAAAAAAAAUGCAACCAGAAUUUAAGUCAUGUCGCUUUAGUUACCAAUGAGCGAUAUGUUUAUAUAUACAUUUGUUCAAAACAUUUCUGAAAAUAUUGAUGCAUAAUUUAAAAUAAUUUUAUUUGUGCUUAAUUUUUAACGAAUAACACUUCAAAUCUGUUACAAAAUUUUAAAUUAUAAAGAAAUAUAUACAAACCUCAUUAUGAAUAACUUGGUUUAGUUUAUAAAAACCAUAUUAUUUACCUUACACUAUUAAGCUAAAUCGAUUUAUUCAUAAAGUCAAAGUCUAUUCAAACCAAAAUAAUAAUGGUUCACUAAAGGAUAAACAACUAAAUACAUUUAUAGAGUGCCAUUACCGGCAUAUUUAAUUCGAAAAACAUUAAAAAUUCUUAUGUAGACACUACCUAUAGAAAUAUAAAAAUAACAAAUAUAACCCACGAAAUUUGAAAUAUUCAUUAUUAGUGAAAUAAAAUAACUUAUUUAGUUGUUCAUUUAUUACAUUAUUUUAUUUAUCUAGUUUUAUGCAUAACACAACUUUGUUUCUUUUAUGUAAAUAAAAUCAUUUAUUCACCCAAA